RNAcentral lists this ribosomal RNA (570 nucleotides) under uncultured bacterium. RNAcentral's name for it is "bacterial SSU rRNA". It matches the Rfam family "Bacterial small subunit ribosomal RNA", at positions 338 to 916 of the family's 1533-position model. The record is from RNAcentral.
CCUACGGGAGGCAGCAGUGGGGAAUAUUGCACAAUGGGCGCAAGCCUGAUGCAGCAACGCCGCGUGAGGGACGACGGCCUUCGGGUUGUAAACCUCUUUUAGUAGGGAAGAAGCGAAAGUGACGGUACCUGCAGAAAAAGCACCGGCUAACUACGUGCCAGCAGCCGCGGUAAUACGUAGGGUGCAAGCGUUAUCCGGAAUUAUUGGGCGUAAAGAGCUCGUAGGCGGUUUGUCGCGUCUGCUGUGAAAACUGGAGGCUCAACCUCCAGCCUGCAGUGGGUACGGGCAAACUAGAGUGCGGUAGGGGAGAUUGGAAUUCCUGGUGUAGCGGUGGAAUGCGCAGAUAUCAGGAGGAACACCGAUGGCGAAGGCAGAUCUCUGGGCCGUAACUGACGCUGAGGAGCGAAAGCAUGGGGAGCGAACAGGAUUAGAUACCCUGGUAGUCCAUGCCGUAAACGUUGGGCGCUAGAUGUGGGGACCAUUCCACGGUUUCCGUGUCGCAGCUAACGCAUUAAGCGCCCCGCCUGGGGAGUACGGCCGCAAGGCUAAAAACUCAAAAUGAAUUGACGG